CGAGCCGCCGCGGUAACGACCGGCGGCCCGAGUGGUGAUCGUGAUUAUUGGGUCGUAAGGGUCCGUAGCCGGUUUGGUCAGUCCUCCGGGAAAUCUGAUAGCUCAACUAUUAGGCUUUCGGGGGAUACUGCCAGACGUUGGAACCGGGAGAGGUAAGAGGUACUACAGGGGUAGGAGUGAAAUCUUGUAAUCCCUGUGGGACCACCUGUGGCGAAGGCGUCUUACCAGAACGGGUUCGACGGUGAGGGACGAAAGCUGGGGGGCACGAACCGGAUUAGAUACCCGGGUAGUCCCAGCCGUAAACGAUGCUCGCUAGGUGUCAGGCAUGGCGCGACCGUGUCUGGUGCCGCAGGGAAGCCGUGAAGCGAGCCACCUGGGAAGUACGGCCGCAAGGCUGAAACUUAAAGGAAUUGGCGGGGGAGCACAACAACGGGUGGAGCCCUGCGGUUUAAUUGGACUCAACGCCGGACAACUCACCGGGGGCGACAGCAAUAUGUAGGCCAAGCUGAAGACUUUGCCUGAAUCGCUGAGAAGAGGUGCAUGG
This 544-nucleotide ribosomal RNA is filed under the name uncultured archaeon. RNAcentral describes it as "bacterial SSU rRNA". It matches the Rfam family "Archaeal small subunit ribosomal RNA", at positions 458 to 997 of the family's 1478-position model. The record is from RNAcentral.